Molecule: non-coding RNA, 79 nt
Filed under: human gut metagenome
Description: Glycine riboswitch
Rfam family: Glycine riboswitch aptamer
About the family: This family represents the bacterial glycine riboswitch.
Source: RNAcentral
AUUUGGGAGAGACUGUAACAUACAGCACCGAAGGGGAAACAGAAGACACACAAAAACUCUCAGGUAAAAGGACCGAAUC